GUAGGUGGCAAGCGUUGCCCGGAAUUAUUGGGCGUAAAGCGCGCGCAGGCGGUUCUUUAAGUCUGAUGUGAAAGCCCACGGCUCAACCGUGGAGGGUCAUUGGAAACUGGAGAACUUGAGUACAGAAGAGGAAAGCGGAAUUCCACGUGUAGCGGUGAAAUGCGUAGAGAUGUGGAGGAACACCAGUGGCGAAGGCGGCUUUCUGGUCUGUAACUGACGCUGAGGCGCGAAAGCGUGGGGGAGCAAACAGGAUUAGAUACCCUGGUAGUCCACGCCGUAAACGAUGAGUGCUAAGUGUUAGGGGGUUUCCGCCCCUUAGUGCUGCAGCUAACGCAUUAAGCACUCCGCCUGGGAGUACGGCCGCAAGGCUG
RNAcentral lists this ribosomal RNA (371 nucleotides) under uncultured organism. RNAcentral describes it as "partial 16S ribosomal RNA". It matches the Rfam family "Bacterial small subunit ribosomal RNA", at positions 527 to 896 of the family's 1533-position model. The record is from RNAcentral.